This 253-nucleotide ribosomal RNA is filed under the name uncultured bacterium. Its description in RNAcentral is "partial 16S ribosomal RNA". It matches the Rfam family "Bacterial small subunit ribosomal RNA", at positions 524 to 776 of the family's 1533-position model. The record is from RNAcentral.
UACGAAGGGGGCUAGCGUUGUUCGGAAUUACUGGGCGUAAAGCGUGCGCAGGCGGCUUCUCAAGUCAGGGGUGAAAGCCCAGAGCUCAACUCUGGAAUUGCCUUUGAGACUGAGUGGCUUGAGUACGAGAGAGGUGAGUGGAAUUCCUGGUGUAGCGGUGAAAUGCGCAGAUAUCAGGAAGAACACCCGUGGCGAAAGCGGCUCUCUGGAACGGUACUGACGCUGAGACGCGAAAGCGUGGGGAGCGAACAGG